This 253-nucleotide ribosomal RNA is filed under the name uncultured bacterium. RNAcentral describes it as "partial 16S ribosomal RNA". It matches the Rfam family "Bacterial small subunit ribosomal RNA", at positions 524 to 776 of the family's 1533-position model. The record is from RNAcentral.
UACGAAGGGGGCUAGCGUUGCUCGGAUUGACUGGGCGUAAAGGGCGCGUAGGCGGUUCGUACAGUCAGACGUGAAAUUCCUGGGCUCAACCUGGGGGCUGCGUUUGAUACGUGCGGACUUGAGUGCGGAAGAGGGUCGUGGAAUUCCCAGUGUAGAGGUGAAAUUCGUAGAUAUUGGGAAGAACACCGGUGGCGAAGGCGGCGACCUGGGUCGAUACUGACGCUGAGGUGCGAAAGCGUGGGGAGCAAACAGG